AUGUACUAUCGUUGGAUUGACACGGAGAAGCCGGCUUGGGCAGUGACUGAGAUUCGUGAAAAAAGUCGCCGUGCGUGGAAUAGUUUAUUUGCGGAAGAGCGACGCGAGAAGGCGGAAGCUGAGGAGAAAGCAGAGCAAGAGAGAGAGUUAAAAGAAUACUAUGCGGAGCAACACCGUUUUUUGAGGAAAUGGGAAAGAAAAACAGGGAAGAGGCUCGUCGCAUGGAGGAGCAGGAACGACAGCGAAAGGAGGCUCGUGAGGCGGAGAGGCAGAGAAAGAAAGAAAGGGCUCGUCAGGCCAAGGCAGCAGAAGAAGCUGGCGAUGGAAAAGGAAAAUAUCCACGUUGGACUCAGUAGAUUCCUGUGGUAG
Molecule: ribosomal RNA, 369 nt
Filed under: Triticum aestivum (bread wheat)
Lineage: Eukaryota; Viridiplantae; Streptophyta; Magnoliopsida; Poales; Poaceae
Description: partial small subunit ribosomal RNA
Source: RNAcentral